GUCCGAACUAGUGUGGGUUGAAAACCGCUUGGAUGAACUGAGGGUAGGGGUGAAAGGCUAAUCAAACUCGGAAAUAGCUCGUUUUCCUCGAAAUAGCUUUAGGGCUAGCCUCGGACUAUAGUAUUAUGGAGGUAGAGCACUGAUUGGGCUAGGGCUGUCACAACGGUACCAAACCCAGACAAACUCCGAAUUCCAUUAAUAUGUUCUCCGGGAGUCAGGCUGCGAGGGAUAAGCUCCGCGGCCAAGAGGGGAACAACCCAGACCACCAACUAAGGUCCCCAAGUCACAGUUAACAGAUAAAGGAUGUUGAGUUGCUUAGACAACUAGGAUGUUGGCUUAGAAGCAGCCAUUCAUUUAAAGAGUGCGUAAUAGCUCACUAGUCAAGCGACUCGGCGUCGACAAUAAACGGGACUUAAACUGUGCACCGG
This 428-nucleotide ribosomal RNA is filed under the name uncultured bacterium. RNAcentral describes it as "bacterial LSU rRNA". It matches the Rfam family "Bacterial large subunit ribosomal RNA", at positions 772 to 1197 of the family's 2925-position model. The record is from RNAcentral.